CCUACGGGAGGCAUCAGUGAGGAAUAUUGGUCAAUGGGCUUACGCCUGAACCAGCCAAGUCGCGUGAGGGAAGACUGCCCUAUGGGUUGUAAACCUCUUUUGUCAGGGAGCAACGCCGGCUACGUGUAGCCGUACUGAGAGUACCUGAAGAAAAGGCAUCGGCUAACUCCGUGCCAGCAGCCGCGGUAAUACGGAGGAUGCGAGCGUUAUCCGGAUUUAUUGGGUUUAAAGGGUGCGUAGGCGGAAUGCCAAGUCAGCGGUAAAAUCGCGGGGCUCAACCUCGCUCCGCCGUUGAAACUGGCGUUCUUGAGUGGGCGAGAAGUAUGCGGAAUGCGUGGUGUAGCGGUGAAAUGCAUAGAUAUCACGCAGAACUCCGAUUGCGAAGGCAGCAUACCGGCGCCCAACUGACGCUGAAGCACGAAAGCGUGGGUAUCGAACAGGAUUAGAUACCCGGGUAGUC
This 460-nucleotide ribosomal RNA is filed under the name uncultured bacterium. RNAcentral's name for it is "partial 16S ribosomal RNA". It matches the Rfam family "Bacterial small subunit ribosomal RNA", at positions 338 to 795 of the family's 1533-position model. The record is from RNAcentral.